GAUGAAGAACGUAGUGAAAUGCGAUAAGUAAUGUGAAUUGUAGAAUUCAGUGAAUCAUCGAAUCUUUGAACGCAUCUUGCGCUCCUUGGUAUUCUGAGGAGCAUGCCUGUUUGAGUGUCAUUAAAUUCUCAACUACACUGACUUUGAAUUGGUGUGGCUUGGAUUUGGGGGGAAAAUUGUUGUGGGCUUUUUGUAUAGUCUGCUCCCCUGAAAUUGAUUAGCGGUACCUUUGUGGAACUGUCUACAGGUGUGAUAAUUAUCUACAUCUUAGACAUCUGCUGGAAUGCUGCUUUCUAAACCUUACUUGUAUUGACAAUCUUGACCUCAAAUCAGGUAGGACUACCCGCUGAACUUAAGCAUAUCAAUAAGCGGAGGA
RNAcentral lists this unclassified non-coding RNA (376 nucleotides) under soil metagenome. Its description in RNAcentral is "partial contains 5.8S ribosomal RNA, internal transcribed spacer 2, and large subunit ribosomal RNA". The stretch from base 1 to 120 matches the Rfam family "5.8S ribosomal RNA", at positions 35 to 154 of the family's 154-position model. The record is from RNAcentral.